This 1472-nucleotide long non-coding RNA is filed under the name Callithrix jacchus (white-tufted-ear marmoset). RNAcentral's name for it is "lncRNA (ENSCJAG00000083122.1)". Lineage: Eukaryota; Metazoa; Chordata; Mammalia; Primates; Cebidae. The record is from RNAcentral.
CUGCUGGGUUGCAGGUGCUCAGUAAUUGUGUUUUUAAGGGAAAUUAACAGGUUGCCUUGAAUAAUAAUAUACAUGUUUUGGGCAUCUUCUUAGAGAAGGUAGUAUCAGUAUGCUGUGAAUAUCAGUAUAUUAGCUUUGAUCAGUCCUCAAAGUUGAGAGCAAUAGGUCAAAACAUUUUCAAAAUCCUUUUCAAAAUAUAGUAAAGAAGACUCCUUUCAUCUUAAUUUUUUAAAGUAAAGUGAUAAUUUGACAUAUAAUAAAAAGAGCCACUAAAUUUAUUAUAGAAAUGAUUGAAUGUAGAAAGAUUAUACACUGAAUAGCCCGCGAACCAGAUUUGUCAGGAAGGGAUUGUAAGGAUCACAGAGUUACAACUGGAUGCUAAACACUGACUGAAUUAAUUGCCCCCUCAAUGAGGGCAUAAGGUUAGCUUUCAACCGUAUGCCAUAAUUAUUUUAACGAUUUUUUUUUCUUACCUGGAAGAUGUAUGAAGUAUAACUAAAAAGCAAUAAAAACUUUCACAUUAAAACCAGAAUCAUUACUUUGUAGUGAAAGAGCAGUCAUAAUUUCCUCCUUUUAAAUUUUUAUCCCUUUCUCUGUUCUCUUCGUUCUCUCUGCUCUAACCCCUUCCUUUGCAUGAGUUUACAUGUCUUGUGAUAUUUUUCUUUCUCCCUCAGAGCACAGAUACAAUUUCCUGUGUGGCACUCAGUAUCUACAAGACCUAAGAUGUGCCUAAAGAGGUAUGGUACUAUUUUGAGUAGAACAGAGAGGAAGGAAGGAAUUGCAACCUUGGUGCCAACCUACGGUGGCACUCUACUGCCAGCCAUUGAUGUCCCAGGACCUCAACUCACCUGCAGGAUGUACACAGAGGAAUAAAGAAGAAGAAAAUUAUGAGUAAAUAAAUGGAAAAAGAUAAAGGUAGGUAUUAGGAAAAUAAGAUUACAUUGUGACCGGUAUGUAGACUAAAGCAGACAGUCAGUGCGCUGCCACAACUUGCUUGGAUCUUUUGCAUUCCCAGACUCUGUCUCCACAUGUGUUUUUAUUCUCACAUUGACAGCACUGUGUCUUUUUAUUGGAGGGUUGGCCUUGGACUGCCAGAAUCUACUUUGUUCCACUAUGGUAGAAGUAUUUGGGGCUUAUAUCCUCCCAGGAGUAGCUCUUAACCAAUCACUGAUAGGUGCACGGGUUUAAAUAUUCCAGCCAUUGUGACUUGAUCAGGAUAAAUCUGAGGUGUGACCCACACUGUUUUCAGAUAUCCUCUCUGGGACAGAGACAAAGUUACCUUCCAUGAAACCUUGCUGUAUAAUAUACCCCUGCUUAGCCUUCUUACAUUACUAGUCCUAUUUCCCUGCAACACAGCCAUGCCCUUAUUUUCCUGGGAAAAUUUUCUAUUAAUUGUGUUCACAUGAGUUGUCUUCUCAGAGUCUGUUUCUGUGGAAUGCAAUUUAAGGCAGAGAUAUAAUAAUAAGAUUUUU